Molecule: long non-coding RNA, 242 nt
Filed under: Elaeis guineensis (African oil palm)
Lineage: Eukaryota; Viridiplantae; Streptophyta; Magnoliopsida; Arecales; Arecaceae
Description: long non-coding RNA (EGUI_LNC067513)
Source: RNAcentral
GGUCAACCCAUAAAAGAGAAGAAUCCUAGUGCAAGUAGGAUUUCUCUUAUUUCAUCCAAAAUAAAUUUGAUUCGAAUCCAAUUCAAAGCUGGUUCGAAAUAAUUUCGAAAAGCUGUUAAUCUCAAACUCUUUAGGACUUUUGUACCAAAUCUAUCUUAGAUUUUGGAUCUAAUUAAAUCUAAUUAAUUCAGAUCUAAUCUAAAAUUAAUUAGUACUUAAAUUUAAUCUUUCAUAUGCUCCAU